GAUGAAGAACGUAGUGAAAUGCGAUAAGUAAUGUGAAUUGCAGAAUUCAGUGAAUCAUCGAAUCUUUGAACGCACAUUGCGCCCAUUAGUAUUCUAGUGGGCAUGCCUGUUCGAGCGUCAUUUCAACCCUUAAGCCUAGCUUAGUAUUGGGAAUCGACUUUACUGUCGUUCCUCAAAUUCAACGGCGGAUUUAUAGCAAUCUCUGAACGUAGUAAUUUUUUUCCUUGUUUUUGAAAUACUAUAAACCUCAGCCGCUAAACCCCCAAUUUUUUUAUGGUUGACCUCGGAUCAGGUAGGAAUACCCGCUGAACUUAAGCAUAUCAAUAAGCGGAGGA
Molecule: unclassified non-coding RNA, 335 nt
Filed under: soil metagenome
Description: partial contains 5.8S ribosomal RNA, internal transcribed spacer 2, and large subunit ribosomal RNA
Rfam family: 5.8S ribosomal RNA (bases 1-120)
Source: RNAcentral